Molecule: ribosomal RNA, 387 nt
Filed under: uncultured bacterium SA33
Lineage: Bacteria
Description: bacterial SSU rRNA
Rfam family: Bacterial small subunit ribosomal RNA
Source: RNAcentral
GGCCGGGCACUCUGAAGAAACUGCCGGUGACAAGCCGGAGGAAGGUGGGGAUGACGUCAAGUCCUCAUGGCCCUUACGGGCUGGGCUACACACGUGCUACAAUGGCGGUGACAGUGGGUUGCGAUCCCGCAAGGGGGAGCUAAUCUCAAAAAGCCGUCUCAGUUCGGAUUGCAGUCUGCAACUCGACUGCAUGAAGUCGGAAUCGCUAGUAAUCGCGGAUCAGCAUGCCGCGGUGAAUCCGUUCCCGGGCCUUGUACACACCGCCCGUCACACCAUGGGAGUUGGUUCGACCCGAAGCCGGUGCGCUAACCCGCAAGGGGAGCAGCCGACCACGGUCGGGUCAGCGACUGGGGUGAAGUCGUAACAAGGUAGCCGUAGGGGAACUGC